RNAcentral lists this long non-coding RNA (228 nucleotides) under Fukomys damarensis (Damara mole-rat). RNAcentral's name for it is "lncRNA (ENSFDAG00000029348.1)". Lineage: Eukaryota; Metazoa; Chordata; Mammalia; Rodentia; Bathyergidae. The record is from RNAcentral.
CGCGCCACGCCGAGGCCAACCGGAGGCGCUUGGAGGACCAGGCUGCUGAGCGCACCCGACUGCUGCGCCAGGGCGUGGAGGCACAGCACGCACUCGACGAGUUCCGGACCAAGUAUGAAAACGAGUGUGAGUGUCAGCUGCUGCUGAAGGAAAUGCUAGAGCGGCUAAACAAGGUGAGUCGUGCUUGCCUUUGGGUUUUGGUAGUGUGGUUGCAGUCUUGAGCUAAAU